RNAcentral lists this ribosomal RNA (301 nucleotides) under uncultured bacterium. Its description in RNAcentral is "partial 16S ribosomal RNA". It matches the Rfam family "Bacterial small subunit ribosomal RNA", at positions 509 to 807 of the family's 1533-position model. The record is from RNAcentral.
CAGUAGCCGCGGGAAUACGAAGGGGGCUAGCGUUGUUCGGAAUUACUGGGCGUAAAGCGCACGUAGGCGGAUAUUUAAGUCAGGGGUGAAAUCCCAGAGCUCAACUCUGGAACUGCCUUUGAUACUGGGUAUCUUGAGUAUGGAAGAGGUUAGUGGAAUUGCGAGUGUAGAGGUGAAAUUCGUAGAUAUUCGCAGGAACACCAGUGGCGAAGGCGGCUAACUGGUCCAUAACUGACGCUGAGGUGCGAAAGCGUGGGGAGCAAACAGGAUUAGAUACCCCCGUAGUCCCUGUCUCUUAUAC